Molecule: ribosomal RNA, 253 nt
Filed under: uncultured bacterium
Lineage: Bacteria
Description: partial 16S ribosomal RNA
Rfam family: Bacterial small subunit ribosomal RNA
Source: RNAcentral
UACGUAGGGGGCAAGCGUUGUCCGGAAUCAUUGGGCGUAAAGCGCGUGUAGGCGGCUCGGUAAGUCUGCUCUGAAAGCCCGGGGCUCAACCCUGGGAGGCGGGUGGAUACUUCUGAGCUCGAGUCCGGAAGAGGCGAGUGGAAUUCCUGGUGUAGCGGUGAAAUGCGCAGAUAUCAGGAGGAACACCAAUGGCGAAGGCAGCUCGCUGGGACGGUACUGACGCUGAGACGCGAAAGCGUGGGGAGCAAACAGG